UACGGAGGGUGCAAGCGUUGUUCGGAAUCACUGGGCGUAAAGGGCGCGUAGGCGGUCCCAAAAGUCUGAUGUGAAAGCCCGGGGCUCAACCCCGGAAGUGCAUUGGAAACUGUGGGACUUGAGUUCGGGAGAGGAAGGCAGAAUUCCCGGUGUAGGGUUGAAAUCCGUAGAUAUCGGGAGGAAAACCGGUGGCGAAGGCGGCCUUCUGGAACGAAACUGACGCUGAGGCGCGAAAGCGUGGGGAGCAAACAGG
Molecule: ribosomal RNA, 253 nt
Filed under: uncultured bacterium
Lineage: Bacteria
Description: partial 16S ribosomal RNA
Rfam family: Bacterial small subunit ribosomal RNA
Source: RNAcentral